Molecule: long non-coding RNA, 1326 nt
Organism: Brassica napus (rape)
Lineage: Eukaryota; Viridiplantae; Streptophyta; Magnoliopsida; Brassicales; Brassicaceae
Exons: 2
Source: RefSeq, a predicted model, not a curated record
AAAUAAUUUUUUCGUUCCAUAAUAUAAAAUGUUUUAAAGAAGUUUUGAUGUUUCAAAAUAUAAGAUGUUUUGAUAUUUUUAAGGUAUUUUGAUUUUACUGAAAGUUGGUUAACCAAUAAUAUUUUACUGCAUUAUUUAUGGCUGGUUAACUUAUUUUCAAUUUAUAUUAUUAAUAAUAUUAUAUUUUUAAAAGUAAAUUUCUUAAUUUGUGUGCAUUUAUGUAAAAUAUUUUAUAUUACUAAUUGAUUUUUCUGCUUCGCAUCUCUCUCUCUCCCCGCCGUCAAACCCUAGAAAAGAGGAAGCUUGGGCUUGCUUAGCUGCUGCUCCGGCGGUCGGUGCUUCUCACCGUCGCCGGGAGCGGUCCCGUGUCGUCUCUCUCUUUGUAGUUGCGUUUUUUUUUCCGGCUUCUCGACAUUAUUUUGGUUGUGGUGUCAGAUCUGAGCCAAUGGAAGGACCAAGGGUACUCUGGUCUCGGCUCUUGGUCACCUAAGUUCGGUUGGAGAGUCGAUGGUGUGGGGUUUGUCCACUUCUGUGCGAUGGUCUUCUUUCAGUCAAACCGGUGCCGGAGCCGGUUAAGAUUAGUGGUCAAGCUCGGGAUCGGGCUUCUCCUAUUUUUGUCACUUCCUUUGAUGUCGAGUUUAUGUUUGGAAUGCUUGGAGAGGUUGGGCUUGGUGUACUGUCUCUGUUCUUGGAAAUCAAUUCUUGUGGUUGUUGAUCCUUUAAGGUCAGAGGCCUUUUCGAGCUCUAUUGUAGUUUUGAGAAGAUUCGGAGGGAGAUAGAAGUUUAUAGGAGCGAUUGCUCCUUUGUUGGUCGAUUGCCACCGAGAUUUGUUCGUGAUUGUUCUGGAUUUGGAGUGGUUUUUAUCCAGCUACCGGCUGUGUGAAUAAGACAUGUUCAGGAAGCUUUUAUAGGCUUCGCUGUGGGGGUGUUGGGCGUAUGAGGCGCAUGGAGAGCACAAUCAAAGUCCAAUGGCGAGUCUUAGUUGGGAUUGAAGGGUGUGUGCAGCGACGGUUAAGGAUUUUAACCUCUCUCGAUUCGGUUUAUGUGUUGGUGAUGUUCGUGUGCGUCAGGUCUAUCUCGAUGAUCUUCUCUCCUAGUGUUAUUUAUGAAUGUAUGCUCAUUAGGUAUGCCCGUCCUUGAGUGCAGGGUGAUGCUCUCUUCUCUGGUAGUGAUCUGUUUCUUCUUUGUUGUUGCUUAAGUUAUGUUCUUCGUUGUUGUUUUUAUCUUUGGUUCCGAGGGGUGUUGUUUUACCUCGUCGGCUGAUGACUCCGGAAAAGUUUUGAUCCUUUGCUGGCUUUGUUUAAGGCACAGUUAUUUCAAUAUUAA